RNAcentral lists this long non-coding RNA (395 nucleotides) under Heterocephalus glaber (naked mole-rat). Its description in RNAcentral is "lncRNA (ENSHGLG00100050519.1)". The record is from RNAcentral. Lineage: Eukaryota; Metazoa; Chordata; Mammalia; Rodentia; Bathyergidae.
CUGGCCCCUUCCCUGACCAGCCUGCGGGAGACUAAUGAAUCGUUCCUAGCCGGGCCGCACAGGGCCGGGCUCGCCUCGGCCUGGCCGCUGCCGGGUGCCGCCCCUGCCCGCCCCCGCCCCGUGUAAUCUGACACAGCGCUGCAGUCCUCUCUCGGCCUCCGCUCCUCCGCUCGGGCUGGGCCUGCGGGCCCUCGUCCCAGGACAAUGAACUGAAGAUGCUGCUGGCCGGAGAGAGCGCGGCCUGAGGCCCAGGUGCAGGCCUUCCUCGAGGCCUUCCUCCUGCAGCAUGACCAGGUAAAGACGGAGCAUGCCCAGCCCAGCCACAGGCUCACCGUGGUGAACGGACAGCUCGAUUUGGCGUGAAGCAGAAACACCAGCCCCACGCCAAGCUGGAG